AAAAAUAAAAUAAAAAAACCCAACUUUUUUUCUCUUUCAAACUAAUCAUUUUACACUCCUUCUUCCCCUUCUUUUUCUUCCAAUAAAACCAUCCUCUGAAUUCAUCUGUCACCACAAAUAAAAUAAAAAACUUGAGCUCCAAUAAAAUCAAAUUCCAGAAACCUAAAAUCAUAAAUCCUAGCAACUUUAAAUCCAAAAACUUCCACCGCUGUCACCACAAUGCCUCUGAAUUCAUCUCCUUCUUCCGCACCAUGUUCCUAAUGCGUUGAAUCGAAAUCGCUGUCGAAACCAACACAUCGUCUUCACUUCAAAUCUGGGUUCAAAGUUUCAUCAGCAUCACCAAAAACCAGACCCACAUAUCAUCAAAACCUUAAAGCUUCAACAUUUAUCUCUUUCUUCCUCAUUCUAAACAAUUAGUUUUUGACCAGUGCCUGUAACACCCCGUUUCCCAAAAAUCAAUUAAUUAAUAAUUCAUGCAUCAGAGUAAUUCCCAAACGGGCAUGUCACACUACAUUUUCAAAAUUUCUUAAAUAGAAUAUAAAAUCUAUUUAAUAAACGUCCUUCAAGUCAUUAUUAAAUUUGCAGCGGAAAAUUUGCAUCAAAACAACGAUAGCAAUAGUUUAAAUCUCCAUAAUUAAAUCUUUGGCAUAGAGCCUUAUCAACAUAAAUUCAACAACCAUAGGGCUACGUCAGCAAUAUUCAAAUUUGAUACAUAGGAAUGAAAAACAAUAAGAAAAUCCCAUCCCGUACGUAUCAGAGCCCUAGACACUUUGAGCCACCACUUGUAAUAAACUUCAAUACCUGCAAGUUACCCAUACGAAGGGCAACAAUUCCAAGCAGAAGGGGUGAGAUUCACAAACAAUAAUAAUAGAUAUAUAAAUCAUCAACUUAAUUAAAUAACGUAAUAAGCAACAUAUAAGUCAACAAUAAUAUUCAUACUUCUUCGACUUUAAUAACUCUUACUAAAUCAACCAACAACGACAACAACAACUCGACCACAACAACAAUAUCUCCCUCAACAACAACGACCACAACACAACCUACAACAACGACAAUAUCACCAUCAACGACAACGACAACAUCAUCCACUACAUCAACGACAACGAACGACGGGGUACUAUUUUCAACUCAAUGAAUGACUAAGCAUUCCGGGGCAUAAGCCCCCAACAAUUUGAAUGAUGAACAUUCCAGGGCAUGAGCCCUCAACAGAUUGAAUGAUUAACAUUCUAGGGCAUGAGCCCUCAACAGAUUGAAUGACAAGGCAUUCCAGGGCAUAAGCCCUCAACGGUUGAAUGACGAGCAUUCCAGGGCAUGAGCCCUCAACGGUUGAAUGACAAAGCAUUCCAGGGCAUGAGCCCUCAACAGUUUCCUAAUCAUGAAAGGACUCCACCUGUGUAUAUCAGCAUACAACUCAACUACGACAACAACAACAUAGGUGACGACAACGAUCGUGCAUAAUAACUCACUCACUCCCCAACUUGGUCAACAUCAACAACCUAUGACUCUGUUACUUAGAAACGACAACUCGAACCAACACAUUGUACAUUCUAAUUGAAUGCAAUUAAAUAUAAACCAGCGAUCAUUAACAAUCAUAAUCAAUCAACAACAACAGUAUACGUCAGCAUGAUAUAACAAUAUCUUAUACAAUCCAACGAUGUCUAGCAUUAUAACAUAAACCAAGUAUUACUUGUACAAUUUUAUCACAUUAAUAACCUCAAUUGGCCAUAACCAGCUUCACAGUUCAUCAUUUAUAUCCUAUACAUCUCUCAUUGCUAUCCCAAAGUUCAGCUCACAACCUCUCGUGCGACAAGGUCACAUGAAAUCCUAAACCAAGCAGUCUGUCAAGCACUAGCUCGCGAGGCGAGAGCCUCUACUCGCCACGGCGAGUUAGGGUAAAACACUCUAGAAUCCAAUCUGACUCUAUUCUGAGUUCAAACUCAAUCUAAAACUUCGCCUAAUCAUUAAGGUACAUGUUCAGGCCCUCAUAAACACCCAAAGUUAAACUCACAGCUCAAAAACACAAAAUCUUACAAGCUCUCUGGUCACACUCGCCACGGCGAGUAAACUUGCUCGCUAUGGCGAGCUGCGAAAUGCAACUCGCGAGGCGAACAACUCCUGCUCGCGAGGCGAGCGAUGAUCUUCAUCACUCGCUAUGGCGAGGAUCAUCACCCGGGAGGCGAGCGAUGAAUAACAGUACGGCCAGGUUACAGUUUUUCUCAAAAAUUCACCCAAUUCCAUGGUUCUAGCCUUAAAACUGAUUCUAAACAUCAAUAUAUGAAUUAUCUAAAGUCUGUUCAUCAUUUCUACAUCAAUUCACCCUAAUUUCAUCAUUUAAUCAUCAAUUCUCUCCUUAACCCUAAUUCCCAAUUCUCCAAAUUUAUUCAUAAUCUUUAUUAAACAGAAUCAGAAUUAUAUAAACUAAAAUCAUUGCAAGUUAGCCUCACCCUUACCUUAGAUUGAUGAAUAAUGCUUAACAAAAAUCUGAAUUCUCCCCACUUGGCUCUUCUCUUGGCUUUCUCUUGGUUUUUCUCCCAAAAACUGCUUCCACGUGAAAAUGUUUUCUGACUGACAGUUACCAACUUUCCCCUAUUCUUAACUUCCCUCAAUUAUAACACUUAACUCCUUCUUAAUUCCUUUAAUUAAAAUAUAACCCCCAAAACUUCAAUAAUUACUAAUUCCCACUUAUUCUAUUAAAUAGUAAAAUAACUCAUUUAAUAAAAUAUAACACACCACAUAAUCAACAUAAUUAUAUAAAAUCAUAUAUAUAUAUAUAUAUAUAUAUAUAUAUAUAAAAGACCUUAAAUCGACUAAUAAUAAUUAAAUAAAAUUGGGGCGUUACAGUGCCGGUUAAUUGAAUUGAAGAGGGUUCAUCGUACAUCACCAUUUAAUUGAAUUGGGAGCGUACAAGGGGAAUUGAAAUGAUUAUGAUGAUAAUGUUGGAUAUGGUGUGAGAUUGAGGAAUUGAGAUUGAAGUGAAAGAAGCUUUUGUGUGGUUCAGUUAGAAGUUGAAGCGAAGCUUUUCUAGUAGAAUUAUUUUACAAAAAUGUCCAGCAAGAUAUUAUUACUACAAAUUGAAUUUGUAGUUGAAGACUUGAAA
RNAcentral lists this long non-coding RNA (3097 nucleotides) under Medicago truncatula (barrel medic). RNAcentral describes it as "long non-coding RNA (MTRU_LNC007285)". Lineage: Eukaryota; Viridiplantae; Streptophyta; Magnoliopsida; Fabales; Fabaceae. The record is from RNAcentral.